AAAAACACCACUAGAGAAUACCUUGGAAUAAAGUUUGCAUUUGGUUUUCCUUGAUGUGUGAUAGCUCGAUUAUUGGUAGCCAUUUUGACCUCAUCUUGACUGAUUUUCGACUCAGUUUGACUGGUUUUUUGUUCCCUUGUGGUGAUUGGCUGAUGAGAGUAAGGAAUUCAUGUUUUGUUCUCUAGAACGGACCGUUUCGGUUCGUUUCGCUUGUUUUCUCAUGUUUCAUUGAGAUUUUAGGUAUUCGUUGGAAAAAGGAUGUCGAUACGAAGCCAACGAGACCAAUCAGGUGUCAAACAGAGGUCGGACGAGCGAGAUAUGUAUGAAAGAAGAAAGUGACCCCGGUCUGGUUAAAGGAACACAUGACGUGUGGUCUAUGGAAACAUCAUACAUUAUG
RNAcentral lists this long non-coding RNA (397 nucleotides) under Linum usitatissimum (flax). Its description in RNAcentral is "long non-coding RNA (LUSI_LNC002533)". Lineage: Eukaryota; Viridiplantae; Streptophyta; Magnoliopsida; Malpighiales; Linaceae. The record is from RNAcentral.